This 253-nucleotide ribosomal RNA is filed under the name uncultured bacterium. RNAcentral describes it as "partial 16S ribosomal RNA". It matches the Rfam family "Bacterial small subunit ribosomal RNA", at positions 524 to 776 of the family's 1533-position model. The record is from RNAcentral.
UACGAACUGUGCGAACGUUAUUCGGAAUCACUGGGCUUACAGGGUGCGUAGGCGGCUAUUCAGGUCAGGUGUGAAAGCCCCCGGCUCAACCGGGGAACUGCGCUUGAAACCGAGUGGCUCGAGUCAGCUAGAGGUACACGGAACUUCCAGUGGAGUGGUGAAAUGUGUUGAUAUUGGAAGGAACACCGGAGGCGAAAGCGGUGUACUGGGGCUGGUCUGACGCUGAGGCACGAAAGCCAGGGGAGCGAACGGG